This 73-nucleotide transfer RNA is filed under the name Ictidomys tridecemlineatus (thirteen-lined ground squirrel). RNAcentral's name for it is "Spermophilus tridecemlineatus (thirteen-lined ground squirrel) tRNA". It matches the Rfam family "tRNA". Rfam says of the family: Transfer RNA (tRNA) molecules are approximately 80 nucleotides in length. Their secondary structure includes four short double-helical elements and three loops (D, anti-codon, and T loops). Further hydrogen bonds mediate the characteristic L-shaped molecular structure. tRNAs have two regions of fundamental functional importance: the anti-codon, which is responsible for specific mRNA codon recognition, and the 3' end, to which the tRNAs corresponding amino acid is attached (by aminoacyl-tRNA synthetases). tRNAs cope with the degeneracy of the genetic code in two manners: having more than one tRNA (with a specific anti-codon) for a particular amino acid; and 'wobble' base-pairing, i.e. permitting non-standard base-pairing at the 3rd anti-codon position. The record is from Rfam by way of RNAcentral. Lineage: Eukaryota; Metazoa; Chordata; Mammalia; Rodentia; Sciuridae.
GGGGUUGUGGUUCAGCUGGUAGAGCGCUCACCUUGCACGUGUGAGACCCUGGGUUCGACCCUCAGCAACACAU